This is a long non-coding RNA of Dipodomys spectabilis (banner-tailed kangaroo rat), 120 nucleotides long. RefSeq lists it as uncharacterized. The record is from RefSeq and is a predicted model, not a curated record. NCBI's taxonomy places the organism in Eukaryota, Metazoa, Chordata, Mammalia, Rodentia, Heteromyidae. The transcript is spliced from 3 exons.
GAGCCACAGCACCACUUCUGGCCAUUUUCUGUUUAUGUGGUGCCAAGGAAUUGAACUAGGGCUUCAUGUAUAUGAGACAAGUACUCUUACCACUGAGCCACCUUUCCAGCCCCUAGAUUU